AAAGAUUUAGUUUAAUUAAAACCUUAACUUGUCAAGUUAAAAUUAUCUAUGUGAGGGGUAAUCUUUA
Molecule: transfer RNA, 67 nt
Filed under: Eocanthecona thomsoni
Lineage: Eukaryota; Metazoa; Arthropoda; Insecta; Hemiptera; Pentatomidae
Also listed under: 1 other name
Description: tRNA-Asp
Source: RNAcentral